This 460-nucleotide ribosomal RNA is filed under the name uncultured Acidimicrobiales bacterium. RNAcentral's name for it is "bacterial SSU rRNA". It matches the Rfam family "Bacterial small subunit ribosomal RNA", at positions 28 to 505 of the family's 1533-position model. Lineage: Bacteria; Bacillati; Actinomycetota; Acidimicrobiia; Acidimicrobiales. The record is from RNAcentral.
GACGAACGCUGGCGGCGUGCUUAACACAUGCAAGUCGAACGAUCCCGGGCUUCGGCCCAAUGGGAGAGUGGCGAACGGGUGCGUAACACGUGAGAAACCUGCCCCGGAGAUCGGGAUAACCCAAGGAAACUCGGGCUAAUACCGAAUACCUUCUGACCGCCGCAUGGCGGACUGAAGAAAUGUUCUGGCGCUCUGGGAGGGUCUCGCGGCCUAUCAGCUUGUUGGUGAGGUAAUGGCUCACCAAGGCAUCGACGGGUAGCUGGUCUGAGAGGACGAUCAGCCACACUGGGACUGAGACACGGCCCAGACUCCUACGGGAGGCAGCAGUGGGGAAUCUUGCGCAAUGGGCGAAAGCCUGACGCAGCAACGCCGCGUGAGGGAAGACGGCUCUCGGGUUGUAAACCUCUUUCAGCAGGGACGAAAUUGACGGUACCUGCAGAAGAAGCGCCGGCCAACUACG